Long non-coding RNA from Tigriopus californicus, 522 nucleotides. RefSeq lists it as uncharacterized. NCBI's taxonomy places the organism in Eukaryota, Metazoa, Arthropoda, Copepoda, Harpacticoida, Harpacticidae. The transcript has 3 exons. The record is from RefSeq and is a predicted model, not a curated record.
CUCAUUUUCAACACAAGCAAGAAGGUAACACAACCACCUGAACAAAAUCAAGUUGGCAUUUGUAACGAUCGGAAAAAGAACUUCCCGUUUUCAUCAAAAUAAUUUGAUUGCAAGAUGCAGAUGCAAGCCAUUUUCCUAGCAUUGGCCAUCGCCAUGGUGUCGGCUCAAAAUGAUACCAAAAUCAAACAGGGACAAGCUUGUAGCGAAACCUCGCAAUGUCGACCCAACCUGGUGUGCAACAAUUGGAGGAACGGAUCGAAACUUUGCCAACCAGCCCAAUGCUCAGUGGAAGGCGAAAGGUGUGGCUGGUACAGAGGAAGUUGUUGCCAAACUGAUCCAACCAUCUAUUGUUAUAAGAAGACUGGCAGCCGAAGUCGGUGCACAAGGCUGCAAAAUAUUCCAGAACAAGACAGAAAUCAAGUGGUAGCAAUUGGUGUUUGACCAUGACAUGAGAACCGUUUGACUUGAUUGAUUCCUUGACAUCCACAAUCCAGAAUAAAUUUGCGCAACAUUCAUAUUCAA